RNAcentral lists this transfer RNA (586 nucleotides) under Candidatus Liberibacter asiaticus. RNAcentral's name for it is "partial 16S-23S ribosomal RNA intergenic spacer". The stretch from base 300 to 372 matches the Rfam family "tRNA". Lineage: Bacteria; Pseudomonadati; Pseudomonadota; Alphaproteobacteria; Hyphomicrobiales; Rhizobiaceae. The record is from RNAcentral.
UGCGGCUGGAUCACCUCCUUUCUAAGGAAGAUGUUGAGUAUCAUUGAAUUUAUUGAGUGAUCUGAACGUUUUUUGAAGAUUAAAGCUUUUAAUUAAGCUUGAUAUAAAUUUGCUGUUGUGAAGCAGCGUUUUUAAAAGGAUCGCCGUCCAUGUUUCUCUUUCUUUUCGGAUUUUUUGCGAUGAUGGGGGGUCGUUAAUAUUUGGUUUUGAGGGCCCGUAGCUCAGGUGGUUAGAGUGCACCCCUGAUAAGGGUGAGGUCGGUAGUUCAAAUCUACCUGGGCCCACCACUUUUUGUUCAGGGGGCCGUAGCUCAGUCGGUAGAGCGCCUGCUUUGCAAGCAGGAUGCCAGCGGUUCGAUUCCGCUCGGCUCCACCAUUGGCGUAAUUAUGGAAUUUUGUUCUGAUUUUUUGGAGCAAGAGUUUUUUGAAAAUUGAAUAGAAGAUAUAUUUUUUUGUAUUUUUUAUGUUGGCAUUGUAUGCGACAUAUAAGAUACCGGCGUUGUUAACCGCACGUUGAGAAUUUAUCUCAGGAAAUUGGUCUAUUGAAGAAGCAUAAGGAUAUUAUGUUUUUUUAAUUAUAAAGAGUU